RNAcentral lists this long non-coding RNA (440 nucleotides) under Brassica napus (rape). Its description in RNAcentral is "long non-coding RNA (BNAP_LNC025931)". The record is from RNAcentral. Lineage: Eukaryota; Viridiplantae; Streptophyta; Magnoliopsida; Brassicales; Brassicaceae.
GUUGGGUAUGGGCCUAGCCCUCCCAAAAGGCCCGCAAGACAAUUACCUAGACACAUGAUUACAACAAAAAAGAUCGGCUCGUCGACUUGAAAGCCGGUGUUCGGCUCGGCUCCAGACUACUUUUAGUCGAUGAGAUGAUUGACUGAACAUCAUCGGCUCGCCGACCUGACACAACGGCCCGAUGAGUCGGCCCAAUUACUCGAGGAGGCCCAUCGAGACAAGACACAUUAGGUCAACGAGCGUUCACCUAUAAAAGGAGGAGACAAGGCAACAAGGAGGGGAUCCGCAAAUUACUACACUCACUUUCGGCUAGAAUUAGGGUUUUACAUCUUACAUCUCGCCGACUUGUACGGUCCGACGAAUUUGUCUUCGCCGGACUUUUUCCUCUGUUCUCUUCCCCUUUUGUAACUCGGUUUCGACUCACUGAUCUAAUAAAACAC